UGUUAGGGUGGGGGAGGGUACUGC
RNAcentral lists this microRNA (24 nucleotides) under Monodelphis domestica (gray short-tailed opossum). RNAcentral describes it as "Mdo-Mir-7373-P8_3p* (star (passenger))". The record is from RNAcentral. Lineage: Eukaryota; Metazoa; Chordata; Mammalia; Didelphimorphia; Didelphidae.